UCCUUCGUUCUCGUUGAUUUUUCCUAUGUAUUCCCCCAGAUUUUCCUCUGUUUUCUCCGUCCUCAGGGUCUCGGAUGGUUGGAGCGGCCAAAUAGGGCUUGGAGCAGCCGACCAGGGAAAGGUUGGAUGGUAGCUAGAGUUUUGUGAUGGGCGUGCGUGUGCGUGUGUACAUAAGAGUUUAGAUAGAUAUAUUAGUAUUUCAUUUAAAUUUAAAUAUAAAUAAUUGUAUCUUAUCAGUUAAUAUA
Molecule: long non-coding RNA, 245 nt
Filed under: Elaeis guineensis (African oil palm)
Lineage: Eukaryota; Viridiplantae; Streptophyta; Magnoliopsida; Arecales; Arecaceae
Description: long non-coding RNA (EGUI_LNC080459)
Source: RNAcentral